ACCUCCACUAUUCUCUGAUGUUAAUGUUACAAUUAGUCUCCUGACACCAGGAAGCACGUGUGGAGAUACAGCCUGUCCGCCUGUUGCGCCGAUUCUACACUGUGAGGAGUCAUCAUCAUCAUGUUGCAGCAGGUGCGAGCAAGGAUACUUCUGGGGCGCUGCUGCUUGUGACGCAUGCCCUCCCCCACAUGCUGGAUGCCGUGACGUGAUCUGCAUGUCCCC
Molecule: long non-coding RNA, 222 nt
Organism: Haliotis rubra (blacklip abalone)
Lineage: Eukaryota; Metazoa; Mollusca; Gastropoda; Lepetellida; Haliotidae
Exons: 4
Source: RefSeq, a predicted model, not a curated record